UGCAUAUUAAUUAUUAUUGGUUUUAAUUUUUCUGUUUUAAUAAAAGUAUUUUUGUUUUUAGUAUAUUAUUAGAAAUAAUGAUUUUAAUUAUAGUUCAUUGUACUGUAAAGGUGUUUUUUAAAUAAGUUAAAAGAAAUUAUAAUUUAAUGUACCUUUUGUAUCAGGGUUUAUUAAAUAAAUAUUAAAAAUUUAAUUUUCCCGAAAUUAAAAGAUUUAUAAUUAUAUGUAUAUUAUUGUGUCAUAACUAUUAAUAAUAUAAUUAUAGGGGGGAUAUCCCAUUCAAUUUUAAAUAUCUGGUUUUCUAAUAAAUAAAUUUAAUUUAGGUUAAUUUUGUUUAAUUAUAAUUUAAUUUAUAGUGUAAAUUUAACUAAUAUUUUUGGGGAUAAGCUCAAAAUUAUUUUUAUAAUUAUUUAAUUUUAAGAAAAAUUGUAGGCCUAAUAACAGCUAUCAUUUAUUUCGUUAUAGUUUAUUUUCAUUAAAUUUGAUUUUUUUUAAUUUAAAAUUUUAUUGGAGUUAUUAAUUUAAUUUAUUAUUUAAUUAAAUAAUGAUAAAAUUAGUAUUAUUGUUAAUUAUUAUAUAGUAAUUCGGCAAAUUUGUUUUCCGCCUGUUUAACAAAAACAUGUCCUUUUGAUUUUUAUUUAAGGUCUGACCUGCCCACUGAUUUGUUUAAUGGCCGCGGUAUUUUGACCGUGCAAAGGUAGCAUAAUAAUUUGUCUUUUAAUUGAAGGCUUGUAUGAAUGGUUGGACGAGAAAACUACUUUCUUUAUAAUAAAAUAAUUAAUUUUAUUUUUUAGUUAAAAAGCUAAAAUUUUGUUGUAGGACGAGAAGACCCUAUAGAACUUUAUAUUUAUUUAUAUAUUAAUAUUUUUGGUUAAUGAUAUAUUGUAUUUUUAUAAGUAUUUUGUUGGGGCGACAAGAAAAUUUAUUUAACUUUUUUUUAUUAAUUUCAUUAAUUAAUGUAUAAAUGAUCCUUUAUUAUGGAUAAUUAGAAUAAGUUACCUUAGGGAUAACAGCGUAAUUUUUUUGGAGAGUUCUUAUCGAUAAAAAAGUUUGCGACCUCGAUGUUGAAUUAAGAUUAGAUGAGGGGGUAGAAUUUCUUAUUUCUAGGUCUGUUCGACCUUUAAAUUCUUACAUGAUUUGAGUUCAGACCGGCGUGAGCCAGGUUGGUUUCUAUCCUCAAUUAAUUUAAUUAUUUUAGUACGAAAGGACCAAAUAAUUUAAAUAUUUUAUCAAUUUUGAAUAAUAUU
RNAcentral lists this ribosomal RNA (1247 nucleotides) under Sigara septemlineata. RNAcentral describes it as "16S ribosomal RNA". The stretch from base 814 to 1180 matches the Rfam family "Archaeal large subunit ribosomal RNA", at positions 2150 to 2716 of the family's 2987-position model. Lineage: Eukaryota; Metazoa; Arthropoda; Insecta; Hemiptera; Corixidae. The record is from RNAcentral.